This 397-nucleotide ribosomal RNA is filed under the name uncultured bacterium. Its description in RNAcentral is "partial 16S ribosomal RNA". It matches the Rfam family "Bacterial small subunit ribosomal RNA", at positions 523 to 918 of the family's 1533-position model. The record is from RNAcentral.
AUACGUAGGUGGCAAGCGUUGUCCGGAAUUAUUGGGCGUAAAGCGCGCGCAGGCGGUCCUUUAAGUCUGAUGUGAAAGCCCACGGCUCAACCGUGGAGGGUCAUUGGAAACUGGAGGACUUGAGUGCAGAAGAGGAAAGUGGAAUUCCAAGUGUAGCGGUGAAAUGCGUAGAGAUUUGGAGGAACACCAGUGGCGAAGGCGACUUUCUGGUCUGUAACUGACGCUGAGGCGCGAAAGCGUGGGGAGCAAACAGGAUUAGAUACCCUGGUAGUCCACGCCGUAAACGAUGAGUGCUAAGUGUUAGGGGGUUUCCGCCCCUUAGUGCUGCAGCUAACGCAUUAAGCACUCCGCCUGGGGAGUACGGUCGCAAGACUGAAACUCAAAGGAAUUGACGGGG